RNAcentral lists this ribosomal RNA (1313 nucleotides) under Klebsiella pneumoniae. Its description in RNAcentral is "partial 23S ribosomal RNA". It matches the Rfam family "Bacterial large subunit ribosomal RNA", at positions 1551 to 2839 of the family's 2925-position model. Lineage: Bacteria; Pseudomonadati; Pseudomonadota; Gammaproteobacteria; Enterobacterales; Enterobacteriaceae. The record is from RNAcentral.
CAAGGCUGAGGUGUGAUGACGAGGCACUACGGUGCUGAAGUAACAAAUGCCCUGCUUCCAGGAAAAGCCUCUAAGCAUCAGGUAACAUCAAAUCGUACCCCAAACCGACACAGGUGGUCAGGUAGAGAAUACCAAGGCGCUUGAGAGAACUCGGGUGAAGGAACUAGGCAAAAUGGUGCCGUAACUUCGGGAGAAGGCACGCUGGUGUGUAGGUGAAGUCCCUGCGGAUGGAGCUGAGACCAGUCGAAGAUACCAGCUGGCUGCAACUGUUUAUUAAAAACACAGCACUGUGCAAACACGAAAGUGGACGUAUACGGUGUGACGCCUGCCCGGUGCCGGAAGGUUAAUUGAUGGGGUUAUCCGUAAGGAGAAGCUCUUGAUCGAAGCCCCGGUAAACGGCGGCCGUAACUAUAACGGUCCUAAGGUAGCGAAAUUCCUUGUCGGGUAAGUUCCGACCUGCACGAAUGGCGUAAUGAUGGCCAGGCUGUCUCCACCCGAGACUCAGUGAAAUUGAACUCGCUGUGAAGAUGCAGUGUACCCGCGGCAAGACGGAAAGACCCCGUGAACCUUUACUAUAGCUUGACACUGAACAUUGAGCCUUGAUGUGUAGGAUAGGUGGGAGGCUUUGAAGCGUGGACGCCAGUCUGCGUGGAGCCAACCUUGAAAUACCACCCUUUAAUGUUUGAUGUUCUAACGUUGGCCCCUUACCGGGGUUGCGGACAGUGUCUGGUGGGUAGUUUGACUGGGGCGGUCUCCUCCCAAAGCGUAACGGAGGAGCACGAAGGUUAGCUAAUCCUGGUCGGACAUCAGGAGGUUAGUGCAAUGGCAUAAGCUAGCUUGACUGCGAGCGUGACGGCGCGAGCAGGUGCGAAAGCAGGUCAUAGUGAUCCGGUGGUUCUGAAUGGAAGGGCCAUCGCUCAACGGAUAAAAGGUACUCCGGGGAUAACAGGCUGAUACCGCCCAAGAGUUCAUAUCGACGGCGGUGUUUGGCACCUCGAUGUCGGCUCAUCACAUCCUGGGGCUGAAGUAGGUCCCAAGGGUAUGGCUGUUCGCCAUUUAAAGUGGUACGCGAGCUGGGUUUAGAACGUCGUGAGACAGUUCGGUCCCUAUCUGCCGUGGGCGCUGGAGAAUUGAGGGGGGCUGCUCCUAGUACGAGAGGACCGGAGUGGACGCAUCACUGGUGUUCGGGUUGUCAUGCCAAUGGCACUGCCCGGUAGCUAAAUGCGGAAGAGAUAAGUGCUGAAAGCAUCUAAGCACGAAACUUGCCCCGAGAUGAGUUCUCCCUGAGACUUUAAGUCUCCUGAAGGAACGUU